UGAUCCUAUGCUGCCGAGAAAAGCCUCUAGCGAGCUGGUACAUGGCCCGUACCCCAAACCGACACAGGUGGUCAGGUAGAGAAUACUAAGGCGAUCGAGAGAACUGUGGUUAAGGAACUCGGCAAAAUGCCCCCGUAACUUCGGGAGAAGGGGGACCAGUCCUGGUGACGACGUUUACUGUCUGAGCUGGGGUUGGUCGCAGAGACCAGAGAGAAGCGACUGUUUACUAAAAACACAGGUCCGUGCGAAGUCGUAAGACGAUGUAUACGGACUGACGCCUGCCCGGUGCUGGAAGGUUAAGAGGACCGGUCAGCCACUUCGGUGGCGAAGCUGAGAAUUUAAGCCCCAGUAAACGGCGGUGGUAACUAUAACCAUCCUAAGGUAGCGAAAUUCCUUGUCGGGUAAGUUCCGACCUGCACGAAUGGCGUAACGACUUCUCUGCUGUCUCAACCACAGACUCGGCGAAAUUGCAGUACGAGUAAAGAUGCUCGUUACGCGCGGCAGGACGAAAAGACCCCGGGACCUUCACUAUAGCUUGGUAUUGGUGUUCGGUUCGGUUUGUGUAGGAUAGGUGGGAGACUGUGAAACUCGCACGCCAGUGUGGGUGGAGUCAUUGUUGAAAUACCACUCUGACCGUAUUGGACAUCUAACCUCGGACCAUGAUCUGGUUCAGGGACAGUGCCUGGUGGGUAGUUUAACUGGGGCGGUUGCCUCCUAAAAAGUAACGGAGGCGCCCAAAGGUUCCCUCAGCCUGGUUGGCAAUCAGGUGUUGAGUGUAAGUGCACAAGGGAGCUUGACUGUGAGACGUACAUGUCGAGCAGGGACGAAAGUCGGGACUAGUGAUCCGGCACCGGCAAGUGGAAGCGGUGUCGCUCAACGGAUAAAAGGUACCCCGGGGAUAACAGGCUGAUCUUCCCCAAGAGUCCAUAUCGACGGGAUGGUUUUGCACCUCGAUGUCGGCUCGUCGCAUCCUGGGGCUGGAGUAGGUCCCAAGGGUUGGGCUGUUCGCCCAUUAAAGCGGCACGCGAGCUGGGUUUAGAACGUCGUGAGACAGUUCGGUCUCUAUCCGCCGCGCGCGUAAGAAACUUGAGGAAACCUGUCCCUAGUACGAGAGGACCGGGACGGACGAACCUCUGGUGUGCCAGUUGUUCCACCAGGAGCACCGCUGGUUAGCUACGUUCGGAAGGGAUAACCGCUGAAAGCAUCUAAGCGGGAAGCCUGUUCCAAGAUGAGGUUUCUCACCACCUAGCGUGGUUAAGGCCCCCCACAGACCAUGGGGUUGAUAGGCCAGAACUGUAAGCACAGCAAUGUGUUCAGGUGACUGGUACUAAUCGGCCGAGGACUU
This 1345-nucleotide ribosomal RNA is filed under the name metagenome. RNAcentral describes it as "bacterial LSU rRNA". It matches the Rfam family "Bacterial large subunit ribosomal RNA", at positions 1595 to 2925 of the family's 2925-position model. The record is from RNAcentral.